UACGUAGGCAGCGAGCGUUGUUCGGAGUUACUGGGCGUAAAGAGUGCGUAGGCGGUUUUCUAAGUUUGGUGUGAAAUCUCCCGGCUCAACUGGGAGGGUGCGCCGAAGACUGGAAGGCUUGAGUAUGGGAGAGGUAAGCGGAAUUCCUGGUGUAGCGGUGAAAUGCGCAGAUAUCAGGAGGAACACCGGUGGCGAAGGCGGUGGUCUGGGCCGGUACUGACGCUGAGGAGCGAAAGCGUGGGGAGCGAACAGG
This 253-nucleotide ribosomal RNA is filed under the name uncultured bacterium. RNAcentral describes it as "partial 16S ribosomal RNA". It matches the Rfam family "Bacterial small subunit ribosomal RNA", at positions 524 to 776 of the family's 1533-position model. The record is from RNAcentral.